GUUGUAUCGUUCGAGUUGGAUUCGCUAAAAUAAGUAUUUCACUUUAGUAACAUAUAGUUUAAAGUAUAUCACUUUAAUAUCCUAUGGUUUUAUAUUUCUCUUUUUGUCGGCACUUCUGUUAACUCUCCGUUAAAUCAUAUUAAAAAAACUUCAGAUAUCCCACAUAUGAUUUAUUGAAUAUUCACUUUAGUACUUUGUGACUUAGGGCGUGUUUGGUACUCUGUAAAAGUAGCCGGAAAUUUUUUUUCCAUGUAAAAUUUCACUUUUUGAUGUUUGGUUGUUAGUAAAAAAUUUUCCAGGGAAAAAAAUUUUUACGUGUUAUAUGAAAAUCCAAAGUUUUCGUUUUCCGCUCGCUGCAACGGGAAAACGAAAACCACCGCACAAACUCAGGGGCCUUCUUUGUGCGCGGUCCACGAGGUGCCCUUCACCUCGUGGACCGCGUGAGAGAGAGAGUCCGAGGUGCCCUUACCGAAUUUUUUACUUUACUGGUAUGUGGUUUUAGCUUUAUUACUGAUAUAAUAAAAAAAAUAAUGGAGGGGAUAACGGAAAGAGAAAAACGAAAACACAGAAUACUAAAGUGAUAUAUUUUAAAUCAUAGAGUACUAAAGUGAGAAAGCGCGAAAUUACAGGAGUGAUAUUUGAAGUUUUUCCAUAUAUUUGAUAUGGCCAGUUACAGAUGAUCUAAGAGAUGACGAUUUAAUUUCUAAAAGUUUUCUUUUUACUCCAUUC
This 729-nucleotide long non-coding RNA is filed under the name Ananas comosus (pineapple). RNAcentral's name for it is "long non-coding RNA (ACOM_LNC030119)". The record is from RNAcentral. Lineage: Eukaryota; Viridiplantae; Streptophyta; Magnoliopsida; Poales; Bromeliaceae.